RNAcentral lists this ribosomal RNA (253 nucleotides) under uncultured bacterium. Its description in RNAcentral is "partial 16S ribosomal RNA". It matches the Rfam family "Bacterial small subunit ribosomal RNA", at positions 524 to 776 of the family's 1533-position model. The record is from RNAcentral.
UACGUAGGGGGCAAGCGUUGUCCGGAAUCAUUGGGCGUAAAGAGCGUGUAGGCGGCCCGGUAAGUCCGCUGUGAAGGUCCAGGGCUCAACCCUGGGAUGCCGGUGGAUACUGUCGGGCUCGAGUCCGGAAGAGGAGUGUGGAAUUCCUGGUGUAGCGGUGAAAUGCGCAGAUAUCAGGAGGAACACCAAUGGCGAAGGCAGCACUCUGGGACGUGACUGACGCUGAGACGCGAAAGCGUGGGGAGCAAACAGG